UACCCUCGCUGGAAAGCUUGUUCUCA
This 26-nucleotide non-coding RNA is filed under the name Homo sapiens (human). Lineage: Eukaryota; Metazoa; Chordata; Mammalia; Primates; Hominidae. The record is from RNAcentral.